GACGAACGCUGGCGGCGUGCCUAAUACAUGCAAGUAGAACGCUGAAGAGAGGAGCUUGCUCUUCUUGGAUGAGUUGCGAACGGGUGAGUAACGCGUAGGUAACCUGCCUGGUAGCGGGGGAUAACUAUUGGAAACGAUAGCUAAUACCGCAUAAAAUUGAUUAUUGCAUGAUAAUUAAUUGAAAGAUGCAACUGCAUCACUACCAGAUGGACCUGCGUUGUAUUAGCUAGUUGGUGAGGUAACGGCUCACCAAGGCGACGAUACAUAGCCGACCUGAGAGGGGGAUAGGCCACACGGGGACUGGGACGCGGCCCAGACGCCUGCGGGAGGCAGCAGUAGGGAAUCUGAGGCAAUGGGGGGAAACAUGGCCGAGCAACGGCGCGUGAGUGAAGAAGGUUUUCGGAUCGUAAAGCUCUGUUGUAAGAGAAGAACGGGUGUGGGAGUGGAAAGUUCACGCUGUGACGGUAUCGUACCAGAAAGGGACGGCUAACUACGU
RNAcentral lists this ribosomal RNA (496 nucleotides) under uncultured bacterium. RNAcentral describes it as "partial 16S ribosomal RNA". It matches the Rfam family "Bacterial small subunit ribosomal RNA", at positions 28 to 506 of the family's 1533-position model. The record is from RNAcentral.